This 266-nucleotide ribosomal RNA is filed under the name uncultured archaeon. RNAcentral's name for it is "partial 16S ribosomal RNA". It matches the Rfam family "Archaeal small subunit ribosomal RNA", at positions 716 to 982 of the family's 1478-position model. The record is from RNAcentral.
AGUCACUGACUAUUAGACUACCGUGUAGUCCCAGCCGUAAACUAUGCGCGUUAGGUGUAUCGGUGACCACGAGUUACCGAGGUGCCGAAGGGAAACCGUGAAACGUGCCGCCUGGGAAGUACGGUCGCAAGGCUGAAACUUAAAGGAAUUGGCGGGGGAGCACCACAACAGGUGGAGCCUGCGGUUUAAUUGGACUCAACGCCGAGAAGCUCACCGGAUAGGACAGCAGAAUGAUUGCCGGGCUGAAGACCCUGCAUGACUAGCUG